UACCUGGGUUCUCUCACAUGUAUUGUACAGUCUCAGCAACACUUUGCUCUCUCAAGGUUGCAUCUUUGAAAUGGCUCCGGCUACGGGAACCAUGAGCGGAACGUAUAUUCCAAGUCCAGGACAGGAGCUGAGGAGCCUCUAACUGCGUGGUCCCGCCCGCGGGUCAACUGGUGGUCAGAUCCACUUGACGACCUUCUCUAGCAAUACCUCCGUCGUCAUUCUCUCAGAGCCACAUUUAAACUACUCAAAAUUCCAUCUGGAAUUCAAGACCUCACAGGAAAAUGAAACAUGAAGUGCCAACAUUUUGCUUUACAAAGCUUUUACGAAAGUCCCUGGUUUUGAAUCUGCAAAGAAAUCAUAGUAGAAAGUUAUACUUCUAAGGAGAAGACUAUGGAAUCAUUGGAAUUCUCUAGGAACACCUCUUUUUCUUCAUCUCUAUUGCAAAUUACAACUUUCGGUGCUAUUUUAUAACAGAAUGGAUCUCCAAUACCUGACAUCCUGCAUAUCCAAAUUUCCAACUUCCAUACAGAUCUGAAGCUGCAGACAUGGGAUAUCCAAUGCUACUGACCCCUAUGUCAGUAACAGCCAGAUAAGAAAAUGGAAGAACACAAAGCUGAGGGAAUUUGCUCACUAUUGCAUAGAUACUAAAGGAUGAAAUCCAAAGUGCAAGAGUUUUCCAAUACAGCAUUCUGGGAAUGAGCUGAAUUUCCACCUUGUCUUCAACAACAAUACAGUCUGCUCUCUUUUUUUACAACUUUCAUUUUCUUUCCAGGACCUUAAUUAGAUUUCCAGGAUCUUAAUUAGAUUCCACCACCAAAGACAAGACGACACAGAGGAUGUGUGAGAAUAGUAAAUGACCUAAAAAUACUUUUUUGCCAUGGUACACAGUCUUCCCCAAUAAAGCCUUAAUUUGACAAUGUAGUAACCAAAUAUACGGAUGAUUAUUACAAAAUUAUUCAUUUUAUAGAAAACUUUUCUCAACCGCACUUCACCACUGUCACAUUAUUUAUCAGGAUUCAAAAUAACUUAUGGCAUUAACCACCCUUAACAAUGCCUUCAUUUAUCCUUCCAUCCAUGUUCUCUCACUCUACAGCCAGGAAACGGGGCAAGUAGUAUCAUCCCUAUUGCCCACAUGAGCACCCCAACUCAGAAAAGAUAAAGGACUUGAAACAUCUCUGAUCCCAUACUUUUUUCUACUGACUUAUGCUGAAAAACUGUUUUUCUUCACCCAUUUGAAAGAAAAAUAACAGUUAAUGGAGUAAACAUCCAUACCUGCUGUGAUCAAGUAAGCUGCAACAAUAUUGUGUUCAGUCUGCGAAAAGACCGAGCCAUCUUCAUUUUUAGAGUCUGAACUGUUGUCUAAGUUAUUCCUUAGCAUUUUGGAGGGAAGAAGUUGAGACAGCCUUCAUAAUGAGCGUUCAAUGAUUAUAAAAUGUUUUAAGAGUCGAUGAAAAAGAAUUUUCAGAACCAAUCAUUCCCACUCAAGGACCUCAGAGAAGGGCCUUUUCGUAGAGGCCCUCCCUUAACAAAUUUAAUUGGGCUAGAGAAAGGAUUUUAAUUCCCAGAACAAGGCAAAAGCUUAUUAGCAAAAUACAGAGAAAUAACAAGCACCACGCAUUUUAAACAAUUUGGGCAUCAGCUUAGUAUCUAAGGAGAUUAUCAAGUGCACACAUCCCAUUCAAACAAUAAACAUACUCAAAAAUCAGUGUGGGAGCUGACUUAACUGAUUGCUGCUGGAAAUCAGUCCUGAAAUUAAGAACCAGCUUUGGUCACCUAAAACUAUUCAGGUUAAGGACCCUACUUUCUGUUGAGCUAUUUGAGUUUUUCCAUUUCAGUUUCUUUUUCCAGAACAAUUUGAAUAAUCAGACAUAAAGAAGUAGUCUCCCUCCAUCCUUCCAAAUCUCACUCCCCUAAAGGUAGUAGUAAUAUUUUUUGGUGUACAUCUUCUCUAAUAUAUAUUCAUACUAGGAUUUGAGGUUUCUCCCACUUUUUUUUUCUUUUAAGCAAAAAGGGGUAGAUAUGCAUAUAUAAAAUCAUUCUGUAACAUAUUUUCCCCUAAAGCCAGAUCAUAAAUUCCAGGUCAAUAAACCUAAGUCUAACCUAUUAAUAGCUUGUAUUUCAUAGCAUUGAUAUAGUUUAUUUUACAAUCCACCUCACUUAAUUUACCCUAUGCUUUGGUAUGCACAAGUAAUUAUCUAAUAAUAAAAGUCACAGAAUAUAUCAGCAAAGUAUCUGGAUUCAGUCAUUCAUCUUAAG
Molecule: long non-coding RNA, 2256 nt
Organism: Acinonyx jubatus (cheetah)
Lineage: Eukaryota; Metazoa; Chordata; Mammalia; Carnivora; Felidae
Exons: 6
Source: RefSeq, a predicted model, not a curated record